This 253-nucleotide ribosomal RNA is filed under the name uncultured bacterium. RNAcentral describes it as "partial 16S ribosomal RNA". It matches the Rfam family "Bacterial small subunit ribosomal RNA", at positions 524 to 776 of the family's 1533-position model. The record is from RNAcentral.
UACGUAGGGUCCGAGCGUUGUCCGGAAUUACUGGGCGUAAAGAGCUCGUAGGUGGUUUGUCGCGUUGUUCGUGAAAACUCACAGCUCAACUGUGGGCGUGCGGGCGAUACGGGCAGACUUGAGUACUGCAGGGGAGACUGGAAUUCCUGGUGUAGCGGUGGAAUGCGCAGAUAUCAGGAGGAACACCGGUGGCGAAGGCGGUUCUCUGGGCAUUACCUGACGCUGAGGAGCGAAAGUGUGGGGAGCGAACAGG